Molecule: non-coding RNA, 253 nt
Filed under: uncultured bacterium
Lineage: Bacteria
Also listed under: 1 other name
Description: partial 16S ribosomal RNA
Rfam family: Bacterial small subunit ribosomal RNA
Source: RNAcentral
UACAGAGGUCCCAAGCGUUGUUCGGAUUCACUGGGCGUAAAGGGUGCGUAGGUGGCAGGGUAAGUUUGAUGUGAAAUCUCCGAGCUUAACUCGGAAACUGCAUUGAAUACUAUCCUGCUCGAGGGUUGGAAGGGGGACUGGAAUUCUCGGUGUAGCAGUGAAAUGCGUAGAUAUCGAGAGGAACACCAGUGGCGAAGGCGAGUCCCUGGACAACACCUGACACUGAGGCACGAAAGCUAGGGGAGCAAACAGG